UACGGAGGGUGCAAACGUUGCUCGGAAUCAUUGGGCGUAAAGCGCACGUAGGCGGCUUUGUAAGUUAGAGGUGAAAGCCCGGGGCUCAACUCCGGAAUUGCCUUUAAGACUGCAUCGCUCGAAUUGUGGAGAGGUAAGUGGAAUUCCGAGUGUAGAGGUGAAAUUCGUAGAUAUUCGGAAGAACACCAGUGGCGAAGGCGACUUACUGGACACAUAUUGACGCUGAGGUGCGAAAGCGUGGGGAGCAAACAGG
RNAcentral lists this ribosomal RNA (253 nucleotides) under uncultured bacterium. Its description in RNAcentral is "partial 16S ribosomal RNA". It matches the Rfam family "Bacterial small subunit ribosomal RNA", at positions 524 to 776 of the family's 1533-position model. The record is from RNAcentral.